RNAcentral lists this ribosomal RNA (491 nucleotides) under uncultured bacterium. RNAcentral's name for it is "partial 16S ribosomal RNA". It matches the Rfam family "Bacterial small subunit ribosomal RNA", at positions 29 to 507 of the family's 1533-position model. The record is from RNAcentral.
GUGAACGCUGGCGGUAGGCCUAACACAUGCAAGUCGAGCGGCAGCACAGUAAGAGCUCGCUCUUACGGGUGGCGAGUGGCGGACGGGUGAGGAAUACAUCGGAAUCUACUUUUUCGUGGGGGAUAACGUAGGGAGACUUACGCUAAUACCGCAUACGACCUACGGGUGAAAGCAGGGGAUCUUCGGACCUUGCGCGAUUGAAUGAGCCGAUGUCGGAUUAGCUAGUUGGCGGGGUAAAGGCCCACCAAGGCGACGAUCCGUAGCUGGUCUGAGAGGAUGAUCAGCCACACUGGAACUGAGACACGGUCCAGACUCCUACGGGAGGCAGCAGUGGGGAAUAUUGGACAAUGGGCGCAAGCCUGAUCCAGCCAUACCGCGUGGGUGAAGAAGGCCUUCGGGUUGUAAAGCCCUUUUGUUGGGAAAGAAAAGCAGCAGGUUAAUACCCCGCUGUUCUGACGGUACCCAAAGAAUAAGCACCGGCUAACUUCGUG